AGUAAAAUGGCUGAGUUUAAUAGGCGAUAAAUUGUAAAUUUAUUUACAGAUUAAUAUAAUCUUUUUACUA
This 70-nucleotide transfer RNA is filed under the name Lopaphus albopunctatus. RNAcentral describes it as "tRNA-Tyr". The record is from RNAcentral. Lineage: Eukaryota; Metazoa; Arthropoda; Insecta; Phasmatodea; Lonchodidae.